RNAcentral lists this long non-coding RNA (798 nucleotides) under Hordeum vulgare. RNAcentral's name for it is "long non-coding RNA (HVUL_LNC014880)". Lineage: Eukaryota; Viridiplantae; Streptophyta; Magnoliopsida; Poales; Poaceae. The record is from RNAcentral.
UUAUGAUUUCGGGUAAUUUUCUCAAAGGAUAUUCAUGAACCAUCCCACCAUCACUUAUCUCAUUUUUCCAAAAUCCAACUGAUAGUUAUGUAUUAUUCUGGUGCAUCAUGCAUGGUGAUGAAAGGACUGCUCACUGUUCUUUUCAGAGGACGGGGAAAACAUAUAAUUCGACAACUAUUACAGUUUAUUGAUUGUUUCUACAUGAACUAAACCUCGGCGUGCAUACAUAGCUAUGCCCCCCUCACUGCCCAGAAAUUGCUAGCACAUGGCAAAAACAUAUCAUCUCCAUCUUGACGGCUAAUAUUACUUUUGGCAGCAGCAAAUGCCACUAGGGUCUGGUGCGCAAUAGCUUUUAGCCUUGUCGUAACCUUGGCGUCCGCAGUCAACCUUGCACACGGUGUCGCCGUUGGGUCCUGCCGGCGGCGCGCAGGCUUUCUCGGCUAUGCAUAACUUUGCCCAACCGCCUCUUGUACCUAUGAACAAUGAAGCAGGUUAGCGCACACACAGUCGACCACCAGGACAAUUCUUCUUGCUCAUUCCAAAGUGUGUGCACGAAAGGGGAAAUUGAUAUACAGAGAAACAAGAAGCAUAUGUACCUGAUGCAUGACAGGGCAAGAAGGUGGUAGACAUGAGCAGGAGAGCGAGGAAACACAAGGCCCGAGUGUUACUUCCGGUAGCAGCCAUGAGAAGCUAGCAGCAAGCUAUUGCUUCUUCUUUUCUUCGUGAGAAGUACUGUAGCUACCUAUUUGCUUUCGCUCCGGUGUCACUGGUAGAUGUCAGCAAUGGAAGUAAUGGUUC